CCAUAAUGGCUUAUCUCUGUAGAGAAGGUAUCAAGCUCCCAUCUAAAUUUAAAGUAAUCAUAUGACUUAUUACUUGAAGUGAAAUUAUAACUGAUUGAUAAAGAUAUCCUUGGAACUUGCAAUUGAAUAUCCUUACAUUGGUUCCAUGAACUUGGCAGUCAACUAUGCUCAUUACAUAUCUAGCCAACUCUUCAAGUCCUUUUGCAAAGAAGAAAUUGAGGGGGUGCUUGGUUGAGGAGAUUGGGGGUC
This 249-nucleotide long non-coding RNA is filed under the name Elaeis guineensis (African oil palm). RNAcentral describes it as "long non-coding RNA (EGUI_LNC039658)". The record is from RNAcentral. Lineage: Eukaryota; Viridiplantae; Streptophyta; Magnoliopsida; Arecales; Arecaceae.